RNAcentral lists this long non-coding RNA (237 nucleotides) under Capsicum annuum. RNAcentral's name for it is "long non-coding RNA (CANN_LNC014580)". Lineage: Eukaryota; Viridiplantae; Streptophyta; Magnoliopsida; Solanales; Solanaceae. The record is from RNAcentral.
UUGACAAGAAAAAAUAAGCUACUGUUGACUAUGAUAAAGGGAGACACAAACUAACUCUAAAAAUCAAUGGAUUUCGCAAAUCUGAUUUGCCUAAACACUAACUUUUAUGUGUCGAAUUUCAGUUAAGAGUGAUUUUUUUGGAUUGAUAGAUUAUGUAGUCUUUGGUAAUUUUUUGAAUUGACCCAACUGAAUCUGGGUUCAUAUUGCUAGCUAUAGAAGGAAGAACGAGACUCGCCG